UAUUAAAAAAGACUGUGCUCAGGCAGUGCAGAAGUAUUGAUAAUUAUAUUUUUCAUCAGGGAGUAGGAAAAUAAAGGAGGAGAAGCAGUGUUGUACUAGGUCUGGAAAAAGAGAAUCUCCAGCUGUAUGAAUCAAAGACCCUGUCUAUGCCACUCUCUGUUCCUAUGGUAAGUCUACUUUCAUGGUUAUUUCACCAUCUUUUACUCUCCCCUCUCUAGUAAUGGGAUCUUCCAGACACAGACAUAAGAGCUGCCUUGAAUCUUUCCAGCUGCCUCCAGUACCUGCUGCACACAUCUACUGCCAAAACCUGACCCAUCCUACUCACAAGCAUGACAUACAAAGCAGCAGCACUUGUCUUCUUUCAGUGAUGAGAUGAAAGACUUUUCUACUCUUUCAUCCACUUUAGCUUCAACAAGUGCUGCAAGAUUGCCCCCUUCCCCAAUGGUGUCCAUGAAGGCUAAAACUAGAAACACCUGCAGAAAUCUGGUCUUCACCACAACCCCGCAAAAUCACACUCCUUGAGUGGGCACCUGAAAAAACCCAUCCAAACAAAUCCAAGGCUUCAAAUCAAGGCAUAAAAAGUUGCUGUCUGUAGGAAGACUAAAUGAGUAAAUUCAAAUAAACACAUAACUUUUAGAUUACUAAAAACUGAAUCUCAUCCCAAGGACAAGAGGUAAUGUUUUUAAGUUGUGCCAGGCAAGGUUCAGGUUGGAUCUUAGGACAAAUUUCUUCUCAGAAAGGGUGGUGAUGCAUUGGAAUAGGCUACCCAAAGAGGUGGUGAAGUCACUGUCACUGGAGGUCUUCAAGAAACAUGUAGAUGUGGCACUUAGGGACGUGGUUUACUGGGGAUGGUACAGACAGAUCAAUGGUUGGACUAGAUAAUCUUACUGGUCUUUUCCAACCUUGAUGAUUCUAUGAUUUUAAGUGCCCCAUCCCAUUAGAGAAGGGAGAUCCUGUAAGCUGCCUGGAGGUCCACAAAUCCUUGUCACUUGGUAUCUCUCUUCAGGAGCUCACAAUUGCCAGGAAGUGAUGCAAGAAUGGGAAACCAGUCUGGCAUGCCUCACCUCCAAGUAGUUCAGCACUCCUCUUUCCUGCCUUUUUACACCCCUAGGCCAUCUUGAGUUCAAGAGCAGAUACACGUUGCCCUGCAAAUCCACUAUGCUGAGAGGACUGGCAGCAGAAGGUGCCACCAGGUGUCCUGCUUGAGGACAGGAGCAUGGAGGGAGAGCAGGAUGGGAGGGCCAUUGAGCAAGUGCAUUCCUACCAAAGUUUAAGUGCUUCUCUUUCAAAAUGACCUCAGGUCCUCUGACACCUAUCAAGUCUGAUAGACUGAGCAGUGAUUUCUCUCAGGCAAGUGUAAAUCUUAUACCACUUCCCACAUGAUAUUACUUUCCACAUGUCUGAUGGCUCUGGAAACAAGUAAUCAAAUUAAUAGGACUAUUUAACUUUCAUUCAUAUCUUAGCUGCCACCAUAAAUUUCAACCGUCAGAAGAUGGUAAAAUGUUAGUUUUGCUUUAUUUGGAGGAGAUAUUCAUUUUCACAACUUUUGCCUUAUUAAAUCCAGCAGUUUUUUUUUUUCUUGGUUAAGACUGUAUGAUUCACAUUGACAGCAAUUUCAAAAACCACUCCAAACCUUCACUGUUUACAUUUGGUUUUGUGAACAGGUCAUAUUCCUACCAUUAAAAGUUUAUGAUUAUUUAAUAGGAAGACUGUAAAUAUAUUCUUCCUGGAUCUGAAAACUUCAGUGGUUAAAAAGUACAGCUGGAACGAUAUGCAACAAUACAGUUCUUUAGCUGCUCCUCUGAGCUCCUUCUCAGCAAUACAGGGACCACACCAAAACAGUCCACUCCUUAUUCUGCUGGCUUCUGACUGCCUGUUGCAUCAGGUUCAUUAUGAGAUUAUUUAUCAGCAAAACGCCCAAUAGUCCCAGCCUAUGAUUACUAAAGGGAUCGUGUUACUUUUCAGGAGUAAGUGUUCUGUCUUCUUCUCUGCUGUGACUUAAUGGAAACUGCAACAGGGCAGAGAAGGAACUGCUGAUCUAGGGCCGGAAAACAGGAUAUGAUCAUCCAAUGCAAAAGUCAUCAGCUACUGUGAGAUUUCAUUCUUCAGUCAAGGUGUGGUAGUAGCCUGUGUGUGUGCCCUGAGUUAAUCUCAAUCGCAGACUAAUUUAAACAACUGUUAAUCUGUAUCCCAACUGUUCCCCACUUUGAAGGGCAGUUGAAGGGCAGAUUUUCAAUCUACCUUUCUCAAGUAGCAGCCUUUUGAAUAUUUAAUUAAAACAUUGUGCAAGGAACUUCCCCUUCAGCCUCCGUCCACACAUAUACCAUGAGCAAAAAAAAAAGAUUUGGUGGUUGCUAUCAACAUUGCUUCUCACAGCUUUGUGGACAGCAGUUGAGCACCAUGUUGGUGUGUGUGAUACACACAGUAGAAUCUUGAAUUCUAUCAAAAUUCGAAAGAAUCGAAAACAAAUUAGAAUCUCGCCAAUUUUAAGUGCCUUGAAAGACAUAAAGUCAGUUUUGGUUGCAGUAAGGACCUUGCACAGUGACUAAAUAGAUCAGGACAUGCUACUCAGAGCUGAAAACUGUUAAGAGACAUUCUGUAUUCACUCAUAAUAAACUGUUUGCAGAGAAGA
Molecule: non-coding RNA, 2632 nt
Organism: Meleagris gallopavo (turkey)
Lineage: Eukaryota; Metazoa; Chordata; Aves; Galliformes; Phasianidae
Source: RefSeq, a predicted model, not a curated record